GCGUAAAGGGUGCGUAGGUGGUCUUUCAAGUCGGUGGUUAAAGGCUACGGCUCAACCGUAUUAAGCCGCCGAAACUGGAAGACUUGAGUGCAGGAGAGGAAAGUGGAAUUCUCAGUGUAGCGGUGAAAUGCGUAGAUAUUGAGAAGAACACCAGUAGCGAAGGCGGCUUUCUGGACUGUAACUGACACUGAGGCACGAAAGCGUGGGUAGCAAACAGGAUUAGAUACCCUGGUAGUCCACGCCGUAAACGAUGAGUAUUAGGUGUCGGGGGUUACCCCCCUCGGUGCCGCAGUUAACGCAUUAAAUACUCCGCCUGGGGAGUACGCACGCAAGUGUGAAACUCAAAGGAAUUGACGGGGACCCGCACAAGUAGCGGAGCAUGUGGUUUAAUUCGAAGCAACGCGAAGAACCUUACCUAAGCUUGACAUCUCUCAGAUCGGUAGUUAAUCCUACCUUCCCUUCGGGGCUGAGAUGACAGGUGGUGCAUGGUUGUCGUCAGCUCGUGUCGUGAGAUGUUGGGUUAAGUCCCGCAACGAGCGCAACCCUUGUCUUUAGUUGCCAGCAUUAAGUUGGGCACUCUAGAGAGACUGCCAGGGAUAACCUGGAGGAAGGUGGGGAUGACGUCAAAUCAUCAUGCCCCUUAUGCUUAGGGCUACACACGUGCUACAAUGGGUGGUACAGAGGGUUGCCAAGCCGCAAGGUGGAGCUAAUCCCUUAAAGCCAUUCUCAGUUCGGAUUGUAGGCUGAAACUCGCCUACAUGAAGCUGGAGUUACUAGUAAUCGCAGAUCAGAAUG
This 795-nucleotide ribosomal RNA is filed under the name anaerobic bacterium B177. Its description in RNAcentral is "bacterial SSU rRNA". It matches the Rfam family "Bacterial small subunit ribosomal RNA", at positions 558 to 1356 of the family's 1533-position model. The record is from RNAcentral.